This 864-nucleotide ribosomal RNA is filed under the name Lobaria pulmonaria (tree lungwort). RNAcentral describes it as "LSU rRNA". It matches the Rfam family "Eukaryotic large subunit ribosomal RNA", at positions 69 to 947 of the family's 3401-position model. The record is from RNAcentral. Lineage: Eukaryota; Fungi; Ascomycota; Lecanoromycetes; Peltigerales; Lobariaceae.
CAGGGAUUGCCUCAGUAACGGCGAGUGAAGCGGCAACAGCUCAAAUUUGAAAUCUGACCCCUGCGGGGCCCGAGUUGUAAUUUGUAGAGGGUGUUUCGGGCGCGGCGCCGGUCUAAGUUCCUUGGAACAGGACGUCGCAGAGGGUGAGAAUCCCGUAUGUGACCGGUGAUCAAGCCCAUGUGAAGCCCCUUCGACGAGUCGAGUUGUUUGGGAAUGCAGCUCAAAAUGGGUGGUAAAUUCCAUCUAAAGCUAAAUAUUGGCCGGAGACCGAUAGCGGACAAGUAGAGUGAUCGAAAGAUGAAAAGCACUUUGGAAAGAGAGUUAAACAGUACGUGAAAUUGUUGAAAGGGAAGCGCUUGCAAUCAGACCGGUCCGGGGGUGAUCAGCCGCUGCUCGUCAGCUGGUGCACUCGCCCCCGAUCCGGCCAGCAUCGGUUUGGGCGGUGGGAUAAAAGCCCCGGGAAUGUAGCUUCUUUCGGGGAGUCUUAUAGCCCGGGGUGCAAUGCUGCCCGCCUGGACCGAGGACCGCGCUUCGGCUAGGAUGCUGGCGUAAUGGUUGCAAGCGACCCGUCUUGAAACACGGACCAAGGAGUCUAACAUCUAUGCGAGUGUUUGGGUGUCAAACCCAGGCGCGGAAUGAAAGUGAACGGAGGUGGGAGCCUGUCAAACGGUGCACCAUCGACCGAUCCAGAUGUCUUCGGAUGGAUUUGAGUAUGAGCAUAGCUGUUGGGACCCGAAAGGUGGUGAACUAUGCCCGGAUAGGGUGAAGCCAGAGGAAACUCUGGUGGAGGCUCGCAGCGGUUCUGACGUGCAAAUCGAUCGUCAAAUCUAGGCAUAGGGGCGAAAGACCAAUCGAACCAUCUAG